UAACAAUUCGCUUAGGGAAAC
Molecule: non-coding RNA, 21 nt
Filed under: Drosophila melanogaster (fruit fly)
Lineage: Eukaryota; Metazoa; Arthropoda; Insecta; Diptera; Drosophilidae
Source: RNAcentral